Molecule: long non-coding RNA, 219 nt
Organism: Pezoporus occidentalis (night parrot)
Lineage: Eukaryota; Metazoa; Chordata; Aves; Psittaciformes; Psittacidae
Exons: 3
Source: RefSeq, a predicted model, not a curated record
UAUCUGAAUCACAAGAAAACUGUAAGCUGGAAAAGAUAAGCGUGGUGUUUACAGGAUGCUAUGUCUGGCACCACUGUGAGGAGACCUUGAACUGAAAUGUCAGCAUCCAUGGAUGUUGCUGGGCCUUCAACACAAGACAGCCCCUGUAUUGUCCCUACCAAUAAGGAGCCAGGCCUGCAGCCCAGCCAAAGGAGUAACUGCUUCAGAGGAUGGAUGGAC